GAGAGUUUGAUCAUGGCUCAGGAUGAACGCUGGCGGCGUGCCUAACACAUGCAAGUUGAGCGAGAAAUCACUUAAAGAAGCUUCGGUAGACUUAAGAGAUGGAGAGCAGCGGACGGGUGAGUAACGCGUGGGAAACCUGCCCUUGACAGGAGGAUAGCCGAGAGAAAUUUCGGUUAAUACUUCAUAAAGCAGAGCAUUCGCAUGGAUGAACUGCCAAAGAAUUAUCGGUCAAGGAUGGUCCCGCGUCUGAUUAGCUGGUUGGUAAGGUAGCGGCUUACCAAGGCGACGAUCAGUAGCCGGUCUGAGAGGGUGAACGGCCACAUUGGAACUGAGACACGGUCCAGACUCCUACGGGAGGCAGCAGUGGGGAAUAUUGCACAAUGGGCGAAAGCCUGAUGCAGCAACGCCGCGUGAAGGAAGAAGGCUUUCGAGUCGUAAACUUCUAUCCAAAGGGAAGAAUAAUGACGAUACCUUUGAAGAAAGCCCCGGCUAACUACGUGCCAGCAGCCGCGGUAAUACGUAGGGGGCGAGCGUUAUCCGGAAUUACUGGGCGUAAAGAGUAUGUAGGUGGUUAAGUAAGCGUAGGGUUUAAGGCGACAGCCCAACUGUCGUAUGCCCCGCGAACUGUUUAACUUGAGUACAGGAGGGGAAGGCGGAAUUCCUAGUGUAGCGGUGAAAUGCGUAGAUAUUAUGAGGAACACCAGUGGCGAAAGCGGCCUUCUGGACUGUAACUGACACUGAGAUACGAAAGCGUGGGUAGCAAACAGGAUUAGAUACCCUGGUAGUCCACGCCGUAAACGAUGAGCACUAGUGUCGGGCUCGCAAGAGUUCGGUGCCGGAGCAAACGCAUUAAGUGCUCCGCCUGGGGAGUACGCACGCAGUGUGAAACUCAAGGAUUGACGGGACCCGCACAGCAGCGGAGCAUGUGUUUAUCGAGCACGCGAGACUUACAGACUGACAUCCACUGAAGCUCGUAAACUGAGCCUCUCGAACAUGAGACAGGUGGUGCAUGUGUCGUCAGCUCUGUCUGGAAUGUUUGGUAAGUCCCGACGAGGCAACCUUGGCGUAGUUGCAUCAUUAGCGCACUCUAAUGGGACUGUCGGAAUCGGGAAGGCGGAUAAUCCAUACAUGCCUUAUGAACUGGUUACACCCGCGUUAUCAAUAUGAAGU
Molecule: ribosomal RNA, 1170 nt
Filed under: uncultured bacterium
Lineage: Bacteria
Description: bacterial SSU rRNA
Rfam family: Bacterial small subunit ribosomal RNA
Source: RNAcentral